CUCCCUUCAACGGCAACCCGUUCACGCCGUUCCUCCAUUCAAGAUUUCCGUCUCGUAGGUCGGUCUCAGCGAUCCUUGGACCCCAUUUGAGCGUGCGGUGAUCCCCGGUUGUGCCCACAAUGAGCGUGCCGUUCAUUACGCAGUUACAGCGGAUUACCGACCGCCUAUCCUUACCUCUCCGGUACCCCGGACGGGAGGACGUCAAGCGCCAUUGGAUUAUUGGUUAAGCCUCGACGACAGUGCUCAGCUUCUCCGAUGUCGUUUCUUGCGACAGGGGUCUACAGAAAUACAAAGUAAAAUCACGGGACAACCAGGUUGAGAACGGAGACUUGGAUAGGGGGCAUGAAGUAUACGAAACACAUCCAGUUGAUACUAGUCUCUUGUAUGAGGCUUGGACUGCACAAAAGAGGUACUUACUGCAAGAGCGCAACCACAUAUCCCCGCUGGAAAGAAAUCCAACCUCAGAAAGCCGAAGAAACACGCAAAAUACACACUGUGACACUGGAACUGCGGCGAAGAAAGACAAAGUGCAGAAGCGUGCAGGGCUACAGUGGGCAACAGGGCUUUGCAGAAAAUACCGAAUUC
Non-coding RNA from Neurospora crassa OR74A, 585 nucleotides. Lineage: Eukaryota; Fungi; Ascomycota; Sordariomycetes; Sordariales; Sordariaceae. The record is from RefSeq and is a predicted model, not a curated record.